GGGAAUAUUGCGCAAUGGCCGAAAGGCUGACGCAGCGACGCCGCGUGGGGGAUGAAGCAUUUCGGUGUGUAAACCCCUGUUGCCCGGGACGAACAAGCAGAUUUUUCUGCUCUGACGGUACCGGGUGAGGAAGCACCGGCUAACUCCGUGCCAGCAGCCGCGGUAAUACGGAGGGUGCGAGCGUUGUCCGGAAUCACUGGGCGUAAAGGGCGCGUAGGCGGUCUGCUAAGCGUGCGGUGAAAGCCCGGGGCUCAACCCCGGGUCUGCCGUGCGAACUGGUGGACUAGAGCACUGUAGAGGCAGGUGGAAUUCCGGGUGUAGCGGUGGAAUGCGUAGAGAUCCGUAAGAACACCGGUGGCGAAGGCGGCCUGCUGGGCAGUAGCUGACGCUGAGGCGCGACAGCGUGGGGAGCAAACA
This 417-nucleotide ribosomal RNA is filed under the name uncultured bacterium. Its description in RNAcentral is "bacterial SSU rRNA". It matches the Rfam family "Bacterial small subunit ribosomal RNA", at positions 357 to 774 of the family's 1533-position model. The record is from RNAcentral.